RNAcentral lists this ribosomal RNA (460 nucleotides) under uncultured bacterium. RNAcentral describes it as "partial 16S ribosomal RNA". It matches the Rfam family "Bacterial small subunit ribosomal RNA", at positions 338 to 795 of the family's 1533-position model. The record is from RNAcentral.
CCUACGGGAGGCAGCAGUGAGGAAUAUUGGUCAAUGGACGAGAGUCUGAACCAGCCAAGUAGCGUGAAGGAUGACUGCCCUAUGGGUUGUAAACUUCUUUUAUAUGGGAAUAAAAUGUUCCACGUGUGGGAUUUUGUAUGUACCAUAUGAAUAAGGAUCGGCUAACUCCGUGCCAGCAGCCGCGGUAAUACGGAGGAUCCGAGCGUUAUCCGGAUUUAUUGGGUUUAAAGGGAGCGUAGGUUGAUUGUUAAGUCAGUUGUGAAAGUUUGCGGCUCAACCGUAAGAUUGCAGUUGAAACUGGCAGUCUUGAGUACAGUAGAGGUGGGCGGAAUUCGUGGUGUAGCGGUGAAAUGCUUAGAUAUCACGAAGAACUCCGAUUGCGAAGGCAGUUCACUGGACUGCAACUGACACUGAGGCACGAAAGUGUGGGUAUCAAACAGGAUUAGAUACCCCGGUAGUC